GAUGAACGCUGACAGAAUGCUUAACACAUGCAAGUCUACUUGAACUUCGGUUUGGGUGGCGGACGGGUGAGUAACGCGUAAAGAACUUGCCUCACAGUUAGGGACAACAUUUGGGAACGAAUGCUAAUACCUGAUAUUAUGAUUUUAGGGCAUCCUAAGAUUAUGAAAGCUAUAUGCACUGUGAGAGAGCUUUGCGUCCCAUUAGCUAGUUGGAGAGGUAACGGCUCACCAAGGCGAUGAUGGGUAGCCGGCCUGAGAGGGUGAACGGCCACAAGGGGACUGAGACACGGCCCUUACUCCUACGGGAGGCAGCAGUGGGGAAUAUUGGACAAUGGACCAAAAGUCUGAUCCAGCAAUUCUGUGUGCACGAUGACGUUUUUCGGAAUGUAAAGUGCUUUCAGUUGGGAAGAAAAAAAUGACGGUACCAACAGAAGAAGUGACGGCUAAAUACGUG
RNAcentral lists this ribosomal RNA (454 nucleotides) under uncultured bacterium. RNAcentral's name for it is "partial 16S ribosomal RNA". It matches the Rfam family "Bacterial small subunit ribosomal RNA", at positions 28 to 507 of the family's 1533-position model. The record is from RNAcentral.